GGGCUUGUGGUUUAGUGGUAUAAUUUUCCCUUAGCACCAAUCUCUUCGGAGACCGCGUGGGAAAGGUCCUGGGUUCGAUUCCCAGCAAGUCCA
This is a non-coding RNA of Dothidotthia symphoricarpi CBS 119687, 93 nucleotides long. The record is from the annotation of a RefSeq genome assembly. NCBI's taxonomy places the organism in Eukaryota, Fungi, Ascomycota, Dothideomycetes, Pleosporales, Dothidotthiaceae.